Molecule: transfer RNA, 86 nt
Filed under: Candidatus Fermentithermobacillus carboniphilus
Lineage: Bacteria; Bacillati; Bacillota; Candidatus Fermentithermobacillia; Candidatus Fermentithermobacillales; Candidatus Fermentithermobacillaceae
Also listed under: 1 other name
Description: tRNA-Tyr
Rfam family: tRNA
About the family: Transfer RNA (tRNA) molecules are approximately 80 nucleotides in length. Their secondary structure includes four short double-helical elements and three loops (D, anti-codon, and T loops).
Source: RNAcentral
GGAGAGGUACCCAAGCGGCCAAAGGGGGCAGACUGUAAAUCUGUUGGCAGACGCCUUCGCUGGUUCGAAUCCAGCCCUCUCCACCA